Molecule: non-coding RNA, 2191 nt
Organism: Nerophis lumbriciformis (worm pipefish)
Lineage: Eukaryota; Metazoa; Chordata; Actinopteri; Syngnathiformes; Syngnathidae
Source: RefSeq, a predicted model, not a curated record
GAUGACAUCAUAGGUGACACUAUUGAUGACAUCAUAGGUGAGACUAUUGAUGAUAUCAUAGGUGACACUAUAGAUAACAUCAUAGAUGACACUGUUGAUAACAUCAUAGGUGACACUAUUGAUGACAUCAUAGGUGACACUAUGGAUAACAUCACAGGUGACACUAUAGAUAACAUCAUAGGUGACACUAUAGAUAACAUCGCAGGUGACACUAUAGAUAACAUCAUAGGUGACACUAUAUAUAACAUCAUAGGUGACACUAUAGAUAACAUGUAGGUGACAUCAUAGGUGUCACUACAGGUGACAUGUAGGUGGCAUCAUAGGUGGCACUACAGGUGACAUGUAGGUGACAUCAUAGGUGGCACUACAGGUGACGUGUAGGUGACAUCAUAGGUGGCACUACAGGUGACAUGUAGGUGACAUCAUUGGUGCCACUACAGGUGACAUGUAGGUGACAUUAUAGGUGGCACUACAGGUGACAUGUAGGUGACAUCAUAGGUGGCACUACAAGUGACAUGUAGGUGACAUCAUCGGUGGCACUACAGGUGACAUGUAGGUGACAUCAUAGGUGGCACUACAGGUGACAUGUAGGUGACAUCAUAAGUGCCACUACAGGUGACAUGUAGGUGACAUCAUAGGUGCCACUACAGGUGACAUGUAGGUGACAUCAUAGGUGGCACUACAGAUGACACGUAGGUGACAUCAUAGGUGGCACUACAGGUGACAUGUAGGUGACAUCAUAGGUGUCACUACAGAUGACAUGUAGGUGACAUCAUAGGUGGCACUACAGGUGACACGUAGGUGACAUCAUAGGUGGCACUACAGGUGACACGUAGGUGACAUCAUAGGUGGCACUACAGUUGACACGUAGGUGACAUCAUAGGUGGCACUACAGGUGACACGUAGGUGACAUCAUAGGUGGCACUACAGGUGACACGUAGGUGACAUCAUAGGUGGCACUACAGGUGACAUGUAGGUGACAUUAUAGGUGGCACUACAGGUGACAUGUAGGUGACAUCAUAGGUGGCACUACAAGUGACAUGUAGGUGACAUCAUAGGUGGCACUACAGUUGACACGUAGGUGACAUCAUAGGUGGCACUACAGGUGACACGUAGGUGACAUCAUAGGUGGCACUACAGGUGACACGUAGGUGACAUCAUAGGUGGCACUACAGGUGACAUGUAGGUGACAUUAUAGGUGGCACUACAGGUGACAUGUAGGUGACAUCAUAGGUGGCACUACAAGUGACAUGUAGGUGACAUCAUAGGUGGCACUACAGUUGACACGUAGGUGACAUCAUAGGUGGCACUACAGGUGACACGUAGGUGACAUCAUAGGUGGCACUACAGGUGACACGUAGGUGACAUCAUAGGUGGCACUACAGGUGACAUCAUAGGUGGCACUACAGGUGACACGUAGGUGACAUCAGAGCGUGGAAGACGGCAGGUAGAAGUGCAGAGUUAAAAAGAUGUACAAAAGAAAAAUGUCAUCUAUGUUUUCUAUUUCUAUUUUUCUACGCAUGUUUUGGUGUAAAUUAUUUUUCUGAUGUUGUAUUUUCCUGCCAUGAUGACGUCAACCAAUCAGUGAUCAUCUUGUCUGUGAUGUCAUAGACAUGUUUCCUGUGAUAUGUCAGUGGCAUGCUAACUGUCUCCACGUGCACGCGCUCCUCAAUAAUAAUAAUCAUCAUAAUCAGAUGACAGCUGUCAAUCAAACUUGUGUCUGUGUUUGUGUGAUGGAUGCUCGCUGAGUGGCUCCACAACCACUUUACUUUUCUUUCAUUUGUUAUCUUCUUUUUGUCUUAUUUUUGUAUUCUUUUUGUCUUAUUUUUAUGUUCCUUUUGUCUUUACUUAUGUUAUUUUUAACUUUAUUUUUUUUAUGUUCCUUGUGUCUUUAUUUUUAUGUUCUUUUUUGUUUAUUUUUAGGUCCUCUUUUAUUUUUUAUGGGUUUUUUUGUUCAUUUUUAUGUUCUUUUGUUUUUAUUUUUUAUAUUAUUUUUGUUUUUAAUUUUGUUUUUUUUGUCUUAUGUUUUGUUUUCUUGUUUUUAUUUUUUGUGUUCCUUUUGUUCAGUUUUCAUGUUCUUUUUUGUUUACUUUUUAAUGUUUUUUUCUUCCUUUCUAUGUGUCUGUUGUUUAUAUUUAUGUUCUACUUGUGGACUUCUUCUUGACAAUUAAAAUGACCUCUGACCUCUCCA